RNAcentral lists this ribosomal RNA (633 nucleotides) under Staphylococcus aureus. RNAcentral describes it as "partial 23S ribosomal RNA". It matches the Rfam family "Bacterial large subunit ribosomal RNA", at positions 228 to 860 of the family's 2925-position model. The record is from RNAcentral. Lineage: Bacteria; Bacillati; Bacillota; Bacilli; Caryophanales; Staphylococcaceae.
AAUUCGAUUCCCUUAGUAGCGGCGAGCGAAACGGGAAGAGCCCAAACCAACAAGCUUGCUUGUUGGGGUUGUAGGACACUCUAUACGGAGUUACAAAGGACGACAUUAGACGAAUCAUCUGGAAAGAUGAAUCAAAGAAGGUAAUAAUCCUGUAGUCGAAAAUGUUGUCUCUCUUGAGUGGAUCCUGAGUACGACGGAGCACGUGAAAUUCCGUCGGAAUCUGGGAGGACCAUCUCCUAAGGCUAAAUACUCUCUAGUGACCGAUAGUGAACCAGUACCGUGAGGGAAAGGUGAAAAGCACCCCGGAAGGGGAGUGAAAUAGAACCUGAAACCGUGUGCUUACAAGUAGUCAGAGCCCGUUAAUGGGUGAUGGCGUGCCUUUUGUAGAAUGAACCGGCGAGUUACGAUUUGAUGCAAGGUUAAGCAGUAAAUGUGGAGCCGUAGCGAAAGCGAGUCUGAAUAGGGCGUUUAGUAUUUGGUCGUAGACCCGAAACCAGGUGAUCUACCCUUGGUCAGGUUGAAGUUCAGGUAACACUGAAUGGAGGACCGAACCGACUUACGUUGAAAAGUGAGCGGAUGAACUGAGGGUAGCGGAGAAAUUCCAAUCGAACCUGGAGAUAGCUGGUUCUCUCC